Long non-coding RNA from Vigna angularis (adzuki bean), 439 nucleotides. RefSeq lists it as uncharacterized. The transcript is spliced from 2 exons. The record is from RefSeq and is a predicted model, not a curated record. Lineage: Eukaryota; Viridiplantae; Streptophyta; Magnoliopsida; Fabales; Fabaceae.
UUGAUCUCGCAGCUGAUUUGUUUCUAAUAUAUGUGUUAACACUAUCAAUUUUCCCUGGAUUUUUGUAUGAAAAUACUGGAUCUCACCAGCUAGGAACAUGUCAACUACAAAUGGUAUUCCUGAUCUUUUAAAGAAAAAUAUCGUGAUGUUCUGAACUCUGUUGCCAGUUUACCUGCAUUUUUCUGGUUUCUGAAAAUGCAAUGGAUCAGGAACGUUUUUGGCGAAGUUCUUUAUGUAAUUUUUCAGUUCUUACUGCGUUUACUCAACCUGUAGUUACAGCAACUUAAUGAUUCAGCAUUUAAAACUUUUCUUUGGCUAUUCAAGAACAUUUGUCACAGCUAGGUGGUUAUUAUCUGCUGUAUUUGAAUUGAUAUGAUGGGUUAGCAGAAUUGCUUUGUGUUUCUAUUUUUCUAAUGCUAAUGCUGAUUUAUUUCUUCUU